This 891-nucleotide long non-coding RNA is filed under the name Mus musculus (house mouse). RNAcentral describes it as "long non-coding RNA chr4:63584826-63585717". The record is from RNAcentral. Lineage: Eukaryota; Metazoa; Chordata; Mammalia; Rodentia; Muridae.
UGUAUUCAUUCCUGUUGGACUCUUAUUCCUCCUCAAAACCCCGCUCUCCAUAUCCUUCCUGCUGUUCUUUGUCUCAUUGAAAUCCCCUUAUGGAUAUUUUAUGUUAUUCCACGUUUCUCCUGUACAUACCUCUUUUUCUGUCAAGACUGUAAACUCCUCAAGGCCCAACAUUGUACCCAUCUUCCUUUUGUGAAUGACCUGGACUUGCUAAGAAAAAAGAAAAAGGUCUGAAAAGUCCCAUGGAUUGGUUGCCUUACCCGCUCCACUGGUUUUGGCAAAUGCUUCUGGCAAACAUGGUUGAGUGAUAAGACCCAGGUCACCAUGGACCUGAGAUCUGGCCUUGAGCUGCAUCACUUUACUUGUAUGUGCACCCUCCGAUUGCCCAUCUCGACGGGCUGGAUGGUUUUGGUAAUUUCCAGCUGCUUGUGCUGUUUGUUAUUCUUAACUUCUGUGCACAAAGUGCUCCCUGGACCCCAAGCUGAGGUGUCCCUGGUGGGAGCCUUCAGAGGGAGCACCGGCCUGAGCUGGUAACCUGGAUUCUUGCUGCCCACCUGCCAUCUCUGGCCGGGGCUGUAAGUGACCAUGGCUGAGUGCACAAAUUGAUUCUCAGUGUGUCCACUGACUCCUUUAUAGGGUGAUGCAGUGGACCGGAACCGCGCAACUCAGGAGAUUUUUCUGGGGGAGACAAGUCCUACCUCUUGUGUUCUGUGUCCAGAAUGGAAGCGUCCCCCAGCCGUGUGCCAGGGAAGCCUUCCUCAGUGGGAUCGUUCACUGUCUUUUGAGCCACGGGAAAUGUCACUGUGAAGUUGAUCCAGGGAAGCCUGUGCUUGUCCUUGGGUCACAGGACUCUUGAGCGUAGGGAUGGGAAAUAAAACUGUUUGGUGAGUGAUG